Long non-coding RNA from Sceloporus undulatus (fence lizard), 1001 nucleotides. RefSeq lists it as uncharacterized. Lineage: Eukaryota; Metazoa; Chordata; Lepidosauria; Squamata; Phrynosomatidae. The transcript is spliced from 2 exons. The record is from RefSeq and is a predicted model, not a curated record.
UAGGCUGUGUUUUUCCUUUUCUCCUCCUUCUUUGACUUUGUCUUAAAGACUUUAAUAUUUCUUCUAAUAUUUCUUCUAUUCUUCUUCUAUUCAUGAUCUGUUCUCUCCUGCAAAAAACAGCAAUGUUUUUCUUUAGUCUUUCUCUAUCCCUUUGCCUCUCUAAUGGCUGAAACAAAGCCAGGCAGGGAGAGACAGUUCAGAAGCUGCUGUGCUGUGAGGCAACAACUCCAGCAUUAAAGAAUAAAAAGACAGCCCAGCCAUGUCUGGCUGAAGCCCAGGAACGGCUGGAGGAGGGAGAUCCCUCUGUCCUGGACCAGAUGUGCUCCUCUGCAAUCUUCAACCCCAGGAAGGUGUCUGUGCAGUGAGAUGGACAUCCCAAAAGGAAUUGGCGCAGUGGAGGAGGGAAUAUUCCCUGUCCUUAACCAAAAGGCGCCACACCGCAGUCACCAUCCCCAGAAGGGGUUUGGGCGGUGAGAUGGACAACCUGAAAAGACCUUGGCGCGGCUGGAGGAGGAAGAACCACCUGUCCUUGGCCAGAUUGCGCCCCACUGCAGACAUCAAACCUGGGAAGAGGUUUGGGCAGUGAGAGAGAGACAAAGGCAGACUUCAAGAGAUGUGACAGAUGUCGAGUUGUGCUUUCCUUCCUAUCCAGAAAAGGUUUUCUGCUAACUCAUAAAAAGGACAACCUAGUUCCAUUUCAGAAGCUACAACACUUUGGAGUGGUUGUAGAUGCAUUGCUGACCAGAGUCUACCUGACCAAACAAAGGGUAAGAUCCAUGAAGAACACCUUCAAGCAGGUAGGUUGUUCUCAGUUAUCUGACCUAGUGUUACUGGCGCACCUACAGUGCCUGAUCUGCUUCAAUUAAUAGUUUGUCAUAAACACGAGGAGCCUAGAGUGGUUCCUCUAGCUAUUUCAACAAUAAAUGGCACAGAUAAAUCACUUGUUCUGACAUAUACCAAAUAAGUUCAAAUCCCUUUGAACGGUGGUUGUGCUGCCAAUC